RNAcentral lists this ribosomal RNA (253 nucleotides) under uncultured bacterium. RNAcentral describes it as "partial 16S ribosomal RNA". It matches the Rfam family "Bacterial small subunit ribosomal RNA", at positions 524 to 776 of the family's 1533-position model. The record is from RNAcentral.
UACGAAGGGGGCUAGCGUUGCUCGGAAUUACUGGGCGUAAAGCGCACGUAGGCGGAUUGUUAAGUCGGGGGUGAAAUCCCGAGGCUCAACCUCGGAACUGCCUUUGAUACUGGAGAUCUUGAGUCCGGAAGAGGUAAGUGGAACUGCGAGUGUAGAGGUGAAAUUCGUAGAUAUUCGCAAGAACACCAGUGGCGAAGGCGGCUUACUGGUCCGGAACUGACGCUGAGGUGCGAAAGCGUGGGGAGCGAACAGG